RNAcentral lists this long non-coding RNA (1243 nucleotides) under Capra hircus (goat). Its description in RNAcentral is "lncRNA (ENSCHIG00000007031.1)". Lineage: Eukaryota; Metazoa; Chordata; Mammalia; Artiodactyla; Bovidae. The record is from RNAcentral.
AUGAGCGUAGAAGACUGUGGGAACGUGGAGCUCCCACCCUGGAGCUACUCCGUCCCCUCCCUAAACAGCGAGCAGGAGGAUCCCAGCGACCCAGCGUCCAAGAUCGCCUCGCUGCUCUUGGCAAAGCUGGCAGACUACGUGGUCCCAGGAUGUCAGACAGUCCUUUCUCCAACCGCUUCCGAACCUGACACCACGUUGACGAAAACCAGCCCCAAGAAUUCCUUAAAAGGCGAUAAAGAUCCCGGAGAAGAGAGUGAAGCAGUGGAUGGCAAGCUCUCUAUCUUCAUCCACAAGCGGGAAGACCAGUCAUCCCAUGAAGUUCUGCAGCCAUUACUAAGUAGCUCAGAAGGACGGCCCUUCCGACUUGGUACUGGUGCCAACAUGGAGAAAGUUGUGAAAAUGGACCGAGACAUGACGAAGGUAACCCCAACGUGGAGGAACCUGCUCCAACAAGAACCACAGUUGAGAACAUUUGCCAGGCUUCAGGUUUUCAGGAGAAAUUUUUUUUAAAACAUUCACGUUACCACAAAGAAGCAGGGUGAGAAAUUGAAGUCAUUGAGGCUAUUUUCAAGAAGAUUAGUCAAAAUCAAUUUAUCAUCUAACCAACAAGGACCUACAGUAUAGCACAUAGAACUCAACUCAAUGUUAUAUGACAGCCUGGAUGGGAGGGAAGUUGGGGGGGAAUGGAUACAUGUAUAUGUAUAGCUGAGUCCCCUGCACUGUUCACCUGAAACUAUCACAGUAUUGUGUUUUGUUUUAAUUGAAGGAUAAUUUGCUUUACCAUUUGUUUUGCAUUGGUUUCUACCAAACAUCAACAUGAAUCAGCCAUAGGUUUACCCAUAUUGAAACUAUCACAAUAUUGUUAAUACCCCAAUAGAAAAUAAAAAGUUUAAAUUUACAAAGAUCAAUUUAUCAUUAAUAUUAAAAUAUGGAAGAGAACUCUUGAUUUUGACCUAGAAAUUUUCUUAGCUCUGUUAAGAAAGUUCUACAGCAUAAAAAUAGUUUAAAAGUGAUCAUAGGGUGAAAGGUUAAAAGAGUAAUAAUAAUGGAUAAUAAGAAAUAAAGACAAAUAGCCCAUAAAAAAUAUGUCCAGUCUCACAAAUUACACAGUAAAUAAAUAAAGGGAAAGAAUAAAAAUAAUAGUACUGUGUCAUUUUUACCAUAUCACCCUGAUAAUGUUAAGAUUGAUGAUACCCUUUAUUGCCAAGGUGAGGGUAAAUAGGGCAUUUUCAAGUAUCCAGAG